This 415-nucleotide ribosomal RNA is filed under the name Salmonella enterica. Its description in RNAcentral is "bacterial SSU rRNA". It matches the Rfam family "Bacterial small subunit ribosomal RNA", at positions 36 to 447 of the family's 1533-position model. The record is from RNAcentral. Lineage: Bacteria; Pseudomonadati; Pseudomonadota; Gammaproteobacteria; Enterobacterales; Enterobacteriaceae.
CUGGCGGCAGGCCUAACACAUGCAAGUCGAACGGUAACAGGAAGCAGCUUGCUGCUUCGCUGACGAGUGGCGGACGGGUGAGUAAUGUCUGGGAAACUGCCUGAUGGAGGGGGAUAACUACUGGAAACGGUGGCUAAUACCGCAUAACGUCGCAAGACCAAAGAGGGGGACCUUCGGGCCUCUUGCCAUCAGAUGUGCCCAGAUGGGAUUAGCUAGUUGGUGAGGUAACGGCUCACCAAGGCGACGAUCCCUAGCUGGUCUGAGAGGAUGACCAGCCACACUGGAACUGAGACACGGUCCAGACUCCUACGGGAGGCAGCAGUGGGGAAUAUUGCACAAUGGGCGCAAGCCUGAUGCAGCCAUGCCGCGUGUAUGAAGAAGGCCUUCGGGUUGUAAAGUACUUUCAGCGGGGAGG